AAGUCCGUAAGCAAGGUUUCCGUAAGGUGAACCUGCGGAAGGAUCAUUAAAGAGUUGCCGGGUGGAAGGCCCUUCGGGUAGUACGCCGCUCUUCACCCGUGCCUAUAUACUAUGUUGCUUUCCGGGCUUACCCCCGGAGAGAACCAAACUCUUGAAUUUAUUACUGUCUGAGUACUAUAUAAUAGUUUAAAAA
Molecule: unclassified non-coding RNA, 193 nt
Filed under: plant metagenome
Description: partial contains small subunit ribosomal RNA and internal transcribed spacer 1
Source: RNAcentral